AUUUGAUCCAUACUAGAAGUAGUACUACUACUCAAAUUGUACAAAUCUGGAUUUGUUUCAAAGUUUUGCAACUGAUGAUUCACAAUAUUGUUAUGUGGUGUUGGAUUUUGAUUAUUUGUAUCUGAUGAAAACCAAUAACCAGUACUAGUAACCAUUGAUGAUGAUCUUGGUUUAAUCUCUUCGCGAAUAAUACUUUCUUGAUGAUGACUAGCCAUCUAGCUAUAUAUACAUAUAAAGAUCUCAGCUUUAUAACUCUUUAAGUACUUUCAUGAUUCUUUUUUUUUCUCUGUGUUGUUUUUUUUCUCAAACAAAACAAGAAACAUGGUGUACAAUGAAAAAAAACAUCCUUAGAAAUUAG
Molecule: unclassified non-coding RNA, 358 nt
Filed under: Hevea brasiliensis (rubber tree)
Lineage: Eukaryota; Viridiplantae; Streptophyta; Magnoliopsida; Malpighiales; Euphorbiaceae
Source: RNAcentral